RNAcentral lists this ribosomal RNA (262 nucleotides) under Escherichia coli. RNAcentral describes it as "partial 16S ribosomal RNA". It matches the Rfam family "Bacterial small subunit ribosomal RNA", at positions 562 to 824 of the family's 1533-position model. Lineage: Bacteria; Pseudomonadati; Pseudomonadota; Gammaproteobacteria; Enterobacterales; Enterobacteriaceae. The record is from RNAcentral.
AAAGCGCACGCAGGCGGUUUGUUAAGUCAGAUGUGAAAUCCCCGGGCUCAACCUGGGAACUGCAUCUGAUACUGGCAAGCUUGAGUCUCGUAGAGGGGGUAGAAUUCCAGGUGUAGCGGUGAAAUGCGUAGAGAUCUGGAGGAAUACCGGUGGCGAAGGCGGCCCCCUGGACGAAGACUGACGCUCAGGUGCGAAAGCGUGGGGAGCAAACAGGAUUAGAUACCCUGGUAGUCCACGCCGUAAACGAUGUCGACUUGGAGGU